This 151-nucleotide small nuclear RNA is filed under the name Callithrix jacchus (white-tufted-ear marmoset). RNAcentral describes it as "U4 spliceosomal RNA". It matches the Rfam family "U4 spliceosomal RNA". Rfam says of the family: U4 small nuclear RNA (U4 snRNA) is a component of the major U2-dependent spliceosome. The structure of U4 snRNA from yeast and human has been reported. The record is from Rfam by way of RNAcentral. Lineage: Eukaryota; Metazoa; Chordata; Mammalia; Primates; Cebidae.
AGCAUUGUGCAGCAGCAAUAUCGUAGACAGAGAGGUUUAUCUGAGGCACAAUUAUUGCUAAGUGAAACAAUCGAGUAAAGUGUACUGCUAUAAUCUAAAUUUUUAUUUCUCUCUACCUGAUUUUUCCAAAUUUGGAAACUAUUUGCGAAUA